ACCACUGAAUGGUUUCUAAACUAGGCAUGAUGUCAUUUGGAUACUUUUUCGUACAUAUAUAAGGAUGAAAUAAGGCAUUUAAACAUGUUUUUUUUUAUCUUGAUCACUUUUCGCUACUAUAUAUAAAGGACUUAGGUUGAUACGUAGGUAUACUAAAUAUAAAAUAAUAUUAAACAACAUUUUACCUGUCCAACAAUUUAAAUUUGUAAUGUAUAGAGAAUUCACGAGUGCAGGUGUGUGGGGGAAGAAUAAUAUAACGUCAUAUUGGGCCGUACGCAGUUGUUUUCCUUCAAAUAGUAAAAACAUUGGAAUUCCAUUUUACUCCGCAAAAAAGUGAAUAAUUUCAUUUAAAUUACAAUAUUAUAAUUUAUUAGUAUUCUCUGUUUAAAAAGAUGUUAUACAUUUAUUCGUACUUACAAACACACGUACAAUGUAUAUUAAACUGGUUAUUUUUAGGAAUUUAUUCUAAUUUUAUCAGUGACUUCUAUCAUAAAAUGAAAAAUCGUUA
Non-coding RNA from Cinara cedri, 508 nucleotides. The record is from the annotation of a GenBank genome assembly. Lineage: Eukaryota; Metazoa; Arthropoda; Insecta; Hemiptera; Aphididae.